This is a long non-coding RNA of Peromyscus californicus insignis, 4543 nucleotides long. RefSeq lists it as uncharacterized. The transcript has 2 exons. The record is from RefSeq and is a predicted model, not a curated record. NCBI's taxonomy places the organism in Eukaryota, Metazoa, Chordata, Mammalia, Rodentia, Cricetidae.
CGGGCCCCCCGCCACCACCCCGGGGCCCUGCCCCUUCCCUCCCCCCGCUACCCAGGUCCAUAUCCAAGCCCCUGCAGCUCCACCUUGCCGGCCGCAGGUACACAGUGCUUACUGCGUGGUACGUAGCGCUAUACUUGGGGCGACUGUCAGGUGCGGUACUCAUUGCGCUCACUCCAAAAUAGCUCUGGUUUUAACUGCUCUUUACCUGAGCAAGAAUGGAGCACGGCAAAGUUUGAGUGCCUACCGCGAGCGCCACGUAGCCCUAACAGGUUAUGUGGCAUGCACAAAGAUGGCCAGAAGUGAAGGUCACCACCUUAUGAGUCUCCGAAGCCUCCAGCCUUCUUUCUGCAGUGCGACUCUGGAUAGGAGAUUUGACUCCGAGCUCAGCUCUAGACGCAGUGAUUUAGUAUUUGAACCAGUCAGCUGCUUACCCAGCGAGAUCACCAAGCUUACAAAUAACGGAGGUUUACAUAGCUGCGACCCAACAGAUUGUCUAGGGUUGCUCCCAGCCCUUUAUACCAUUAAUAUUCAAUAGAGCUCAACACUGGCCUGACCCUGAGUUCAUGCACAGUGAUACCAACAUUUCAGAAGUUCCUGGCAUUCAGAGCUUCAUCUACUUUUUCAAAGUCAAACAGUGGAGUGAUUGUGUCCUGACUCACUUGAGAACUCUAAGACAAGCAGGACAGUUUUUUACUUCCAGUCCCUCGUUUUGGGUGACAUGUAUCUCCUUUACAGUGAAGGGCACCCAUGCCAGGUGUUGAGUUGCUCCAGACCUCAGAGCAAAGACAUCCAUUUCUGAUACAUUCCCCCAAGAUAGGCUCCUUUGCACUGCCCAGCACCAUUCUCUGUGAGGGUUAACCCUGGAAUUUCUUCUCAGUUUGGUUGCUUAAUCUUGGGUAUAGUUCAGGGACUAAUAUGUGUAACAACAGUGCAUAUGACCAGAUUUUUCAAGAUAGCUGGUUCAUUUCCGAGGCUAAGUGUUACCCAGGGCUGUAAGCUUUCAUGCCAGACUGAAAGCCCCAGAUGUUCAGUGGGUAUUGCAGAAUCUGUCUUGGUUUCUGUGAUACCCUGUUCCAGGCUCUGUCGCAGUCAGAGUGGGUGAACUUUUGUAUUCCAUGCUCUGUGGCAUUCAGAAUGUCCCCACAACUAUAUGGUCAGUUCUUUGAAAACUGGAACCUUGUCUUAAACCUUCUGCAUAGUGAAGUGAUGGCAGAGUCCUGGAGAUAGGCUCCAGGGAGGCAAAUGUUAACCCACUGUUUGUUUUUGAGGUUCAGAACUAGAAAGGAAGUCAGGAAGGGCCUGAAAGACACCCAGAUACAAGGCAAAAACCACAGCCCUCAGAUAGCUUCUAAUGCCCCAUCCAAUUCCAAAUUCUCUGAUUCUGGGAGUUCCUUUACCAGCCAGAGCUCUUGGUAGCUCAUCAUGGCCACUGACACUUGUAACAUUGAGGCUGACUUUAGGGAGGAGCUUGUAUCUGGCAAUCAGAAGCAAGCCACGCUUAGAUAUCUUACAUACAGGUCCCCUUGCUUUUUAGCUUUGGCUGCCCUCCACUUAAGGGAGAAAGACAGUGCCUCCUGCCGGCCAGGAGUCAUGAAUGAGGCUUAGAGGUAUUUGUCAGCAAAGAAGGAAUAGCCACAGCCUGACCUUUUCCCUUCCACAUGGUGCACACUUUGGAGGCCCUGUAUGUUUCUCCACCUAGAUCCUAGGCUAAUUGCUCUGAUUAACUGUACAUAGUUAAGCUGAUCAAUUUCUUUAUCCCUCACACGGUUCUAUAACAUUUUAUCAGUUAAGUUGUUUUGAGAUUAGAGAUUUUAUUCCUCUCCCUAGCAUUUGUCAGUCAGGAUUUGGUAUUGUCACCUGUCACCAGAAGAACUUGGAGUGUGAGUAUGUAUGUACAUGCCUGAGCCAGAGGUCAACCUUGAGUGUCAUCCUCAGAAGCUAUCCACCUUAGUUUUUGAGACAGGGUCUCUCACUGAGAUUUGGGACUCACCAGUUAGAUUAGGUGGACUGCUUAGUAAGUCCCAGAAAUAAUCCUUUCCCACCUUCCCAGUGCCAGCCAACAAAGUGCACCACUGUACUGGUUUUUUUAUUUUAUGUGUACCAGUGUUUUGCUUGCAUGUAUGUAUGUGUACCAUGUACAUACAGUGUCUACAGAGGCCAGAAGAAGGCAUCAGAUCCCCUGGAAAUGAAGUUACAGCCAGUUGUGAGAUGGCAUGUGGAUCUGGGAACCAAACCCAUAUCCUCUGCAAGGUUACAGUCCAUCAUGGAGGGAUGCCAAGGCAGGAACCUGGAGCCGAUAACUGAAGCAGAGACCGUGGAGAGAUGCUGCUUACUGGCUUGCUCAGCCACCUUUGUUAUGCUGCCCAGGCCCAACCUGCCCAGUGGGUAGCACCCCCCACAGUAGGCUGGGUGCUCCCAUGUCAAUUAUCACUCCAGAAAAUGCCCCCCACCCCCCGGGCAGUCUGAUGGAGGCAGCCCCUCAGUGGACUUCCCCUCUUCCAAAGUGUGUCUGGUUGACAACUGAAGCUAACUAGGACAAGAGUGUGCUCACACUGAGUGUCCCCAACGUUAGAACUACUGAUUGACAGGUUUGUUGCUUGCCUGGCCCGUGUGACCUUUGUAUUUUCGGGACAGUUGGUUAUAGACCCAAGGUCUCCCAUCAUGUGGGUUCAGGUCUCUGUGUGUUGAACCCUGGCUGGCGCUGUCAUGUUAGAAUAAGUGGCAAAUGGCAGCCCCCAGUGCAGAUUCUGUGUGUUUCCCAGGACAGAGUAGAAGAAGCUCUGAGUGAGGAGAUGAGCCUGUCUUGUUACCUGUCUUGCUAUGGGUGGUGGGUGUGGUCUGGAUGAUUGUAGCUAAGUUCCUCAAUUCCCAUGGAAUUCUUGGUCUAUCCGCUGAGGUGAGCUGUUAGCUGAUAGUAAGAAGCCAAGCUGGGCUAUAUAAGCCCCUGUUUCCAAAAAAACCAGAAUGUUAGCCCAUAGGGAAGAGAACAUGAAUGGAUUAUUCAGUGUGGGGACUAAUACAAAAUCCUGAAAGCAGUGUUGCCGUGCCAGGAAAAGUUCCCUUUGGUUACAAGUUAAACAGUGUUGUUUAAAAAAAAAAAAAUAGCUGCUGAGUCCAAAGGCUCUUUGCUAUGCUUGGCUUGAUGGUCUUUCUGGAGAUGCACACCGAGGGCUUGGGCUUAAAGAGGCACCAGUUGAGAUCUGAGCCAGCUGGGCUUGGCCUCCUGUGUUCAGUUUUGUCUCUAACAUGCCCUUAGGUGACCUGGGAGCAGUUUGAGAGGUAAUACUCAAUGUCAGCCAGGCAGGGCUCCCUAGCAGGAGCUGAGUCCUCACCAGAGGACAAUGGCUAGCCCUGUGUGGUGGCCCCUGCCUCAGGCUGUGUCUGUGGGUGUAUGGGAGGGUGCCAGGGAAGUUCCCACUGGGUGAUGUUGGCAGGCUUUUUGUUUCUCCACACAGUUGCACCUGCCCAUGUGGUUAUCAAUUACAUUUCUUAUAGGUAAAAAUGCAGUGAAGGGGGACUGUCCCCAGGUUGGGGAAGGAUAGUCAGUACUGUUUAGCAGUUGGCAGGCACCAGACCAAAAUUGGCAGUUACAGCCCUAAAGGAUUUUGAACAGGCAGUUCGGGCCAGGAUUCAUAGUAAGGUAGGAGAUAGUGACCCUUGCCAGCAUGAGAAGCAGAAGGAGACCACCCGCCUUCCCCUCACAGCCACCAUGCUUGGUGCUGCUGGACAGCCUCCUGCCUGCUAGGCUAUCGAGUACCUCCUAAGCGCUCUAGCAAAUUCCGUGUUCUAAGAAGUUCUGUGUUAAUUUCGUGCUUUUCUGUGUUAGACCAAAGUUUAGUUUUUGAUACAGACAGAGAUCCCAGAAUAUCAAGUGCUCCACCCCACCCCUUUGGCCCUUGAGCUGGAGCUGCACUCUUUCUGGCCCUACCCUUUUUCCCUGACAGUAGCUCUGCCUCCCUCCCAGCUCUGGGUUCUGCACAAGGCAAAGCAACUUUUCCUCACAAUCCCCAAAGAGGUCACUCUAGAAAGCCAAGCAUCUCCGAAGAGAGACCAGAGAGCUUUCUGCUGAGAAAACAGCAGCCUCCACAGCACUGGGGCUAAGUGCCCCAAGCAGGCACAGGGAAGGCUGGCAGCCUGCUGGGGUUCUCGGGGCUCUCAGGUGCCUCAGCUUUUGCUGUGCCUCAUAACUGCUGUGCUAAUGAGCAGAAAGCACAGGAGACUGUUGUGUGUGACCUGGUGACCCGGCCCUCUCUGGUCACUUCCCACCGGAACAGUUGUUAUAGCACCAGACAGUGAGACUUCUCACCUUUAGCCCACAUUCCUUGCUCUUGUGUCCAGCAUCACAUGUCGCAGCUGUCAGCAGCCCAAAAUAGAAGAGGCUUCCAGAGGAGAGGCGUCAUCAAUGGAGCCAGGGCUCCUGGCCUUUUCCUGCCGUGUGUGUGUCAAAAUGUAGCCCAUCACAUCUGCACAGCCAGCCUGUUCUAGCCCCACAGCGAGGGGCACAGAAACAGAUCCCCAAGCUCUAGAGACUGUUUUUCCUAGG